Long non-coding RNA from Sinocyclocheilus rhinocerous, 536 nucleotides. RefSeq lists it as uncharacterized. NCBI's taxonomy places the organism in Eukaryota, Metazoa, Chordata, Actinopteri, Cypriniformes, Cyprinidae. The transcript has 3 exons. The record is from RefSeq and is a predicted model, not a curated record.
UAAUGUAGAUUUACUUGGGUUAAUCAUGUUGUGAAAAGCUUCAGUAGAUUAUAAAUGGAUAAGUAAUGUAUUUGGCUAAAUGAACUGACCGACUGCACCCAAACUGUAAAGUCUUUUAUAUGUUUCCCUAUUAUACCAGGAUGAACAUGAUUUCUGGAAGAAACUGAUAGAGCGUUAUCUACUACCCAUACAAGAUGACAAAGCUCAUCUCGAGGAAGUGACACGGGAGCUCAAGUCGCUACGGAACAAGGCAGUGUUUUUGUACUUCAUAAUUAACGUCCUCUGGGUUGUAGCAACGUUCUUCCUUCAGGCCAUUGGCACUGAUGUUCUGAGCAUCAAUAUUCCAAAGUACUAUCCUAACGGAACUUUGGCACCAGACCCCUUGAGGGUGGAGCCUUUGAGUUUGAUGUUUCUGCUGUCUUUCGCCGUUCUGCUCAUCAUUCAGUUCUUGGCUAUGCUUUACCACAGAGUAUACACUCUCAUCCAUGUGGUAUCGUACAGAGGCACAGAGAAAGACUACAAAGAAAAAGAUAAGG